Long non-coding RNA from Fopius arisanus, 1022 nucleotides. RefSeq lists it as uncharacterized. The record is from RefSeq and is a predicted model, not a curated record. The transcript has 3 exons. NCBI's taxonomy places the organism in Eukaryota, Metazoa, Arthropoda, Insecta, Hymenoptera, Braconidae.
AUUGUGUCGCGGCUAGCCGCUCCAGUAUUGCCCGAUUCACUCUAGAGUCUAGAUUCUAGACCGUGCGUUCGCUGCUGCAAGCUUGUGGCAACAUUACUGCAAGCUUGUGAUAACGUUGCUGCAAGCUUGUGGCAACGUUGCGCGGCUCGCGUUUUCAUUUGCUGCAUAAAGCGCAAUUUUGUGGGGAAAAAAUGGUUUUUAUCUGUGCGUCUAUGUUCUUACGAUGGGAAAACAUUUCUUUAAGUUGUUGAAGCGUAUUUUUAUGGUGGAGUUGAGAUCUGAUUGCUGUCGGGGCUAUGAUGAAUACCGAAAAUAUACAAGACUUGAAGAAUAUUGAUAGUAGCAUGAACGUCACGAGAAUUAAUACAACGAAAAAGCACGUGUACAGGAAAAAAAAAAUAUCGAUUUCCAGGUCAAAGGAUCAGACAGUCUUGGAGAUGUUGUCUCGAUCAGCAAAAUCGAGGAACUGAAUGGACUCCUCAUCCUUGCCGAGUGAAAAGGGAAGGCCUGAAAGGAAUCCGAGGUAACUAUACACCUGGAAUGCAACAAUGAAGGGACGUGACGUAGCGAAUACCUGGUGAGUCAGCACGAAACAACUUUUUGACCAUCGGCUGUUAGAAAGACGAGAAAGAAUAGCCCAGAAGGAACAACAGCGAUUCCAAUAGCUCCUCGCCUUUGAUCGCUAUUUCGAUGAAAACAAUUAUUUUUAUUCUGCUAUUUUGAGGGAUAUUUUAAUGACUGGAGGAAUAAUUUGCCGCGGUAACCUCGAAGGAAGGCCACUUGCUCUCACUGUUUCUUUUCAUCAAGGAAGAGGCAUUCAAGGUACUUUCCAAUCGAUUACAUGAUCGAAUCGACGAGAAAUACUAGACGCAGUGAUAUAACAUCACUCCCUCAGGGACAUGCAAUCCUUUUCGCGAUCCUCAGCUCAUCGAUAUUCAAUGAAUCGACGAGAAACAUGUAUGCAAAAAUCACAGGUUCUUGUAUUUCUACCCUGAGGAUUAGACAAAUCCUGUUGUAUUACA